GCGNACCACCCUGGGGUCGGGUAUAGCGCGGGAAACUGCGGGUAAUCCCCGGCGACGUGAAGGCGUCGGCAUCGACGCUUCACCAAAGGCGCAAGCCGCCCUGGGACGGGCCGUCGUGGUAUUAGGUUGUUGGCGGGGUGACGGCCCACCAAGCCUGUGAUGCCUACCGGGCGUGCGAGCGUGGCCCGGCACACUGGGACUGAGACACUGCCCAGACUCCUACGGGAAGGCUGCAGUCGAGAAUCUUCGGCAAUGGGCGCAAGCCUGACCGAGCGACGCCGCGUGGAGGACGAAGGCCUUCGGGUUGUAAACUCCUGUCGAGGGGGAGGAAGGGGAAACCUUGACCGAUCCCUGGAGGAAGCACGGGCUAAGUUCGUGCCAGCAGCCGCGGUAAGACGAACCGUGCGAACGU
RNAcentral lists this ribosomal RNA (412 nucleotides) under uncultured Planctomycetales bacterium. Its description in RNAcentral is "bacterial SSU rRNA". It matches the Rfam family "Bacterial small subunit ribosomal RNA", at positions 121 to 541 of the family's 1533-position model. The record is from RNAcentral. Lineage: Bacteria; Pseudomonadati; Planctomycetota; Planctomycetia; Planctomycetales.